GACGAACGCUGGCGGCGUGCUUAACACAUGCAAGUCGAACGGAAAGGCCCUGCUUUUGUGGGGUGCUCGAGUGGCGAACGGGUGAGUAACACGUGAGUAACCUGCCCUUGACUUUGGGAUAACUUCAGGAAACUGGGGCUAAUACCGGAUAGGAGCUCCUGCUGCAUGGUGGGGGUUGGAAAGUUUCGGCGGUUGGGGAUGGACUCGCGGCUUAUCAGCUUGUUGGUGGGGUAGUGGCUUACCAAGGCUUUGACGGGUAGCCGGCCUGAGAGGGUGACCGGCCACAUUGGGACUGAGAUACGGCCCAGACUCCUACGGGAGGCAGCAGUGGGGAAUAUUGCACAAUGGGCGGAAGCCUGAUGCAGCAACGCCGCGUGCGGGAUGACGGCCUUCGGGUUGUAAACCGCUUUCGCCUGUGACGAAGCGUGAGUGACGGUAAUGGGUAAAGAAGCACCGGCUAACUACGUGCCAGCAGCCGCGGUGAUACGUAGGGUGCGAGCGUUGUCCGGAUUUAUUGGGCGUAAAGGGCUCGUAGGUGGUUGAUCGCGUCGGAAGUGUAAUCUUGGGGCUUAACCCUGAGCGUGCUUUCGAUACGGGUUGACUUGAGGAAGGUAGGGGAGAAUGGAAUUCCUGGUGGAGCGGUGGAAUGCGCAGAUAUCAGGAGGAGCACCAGUGGCGAAGGCGGUUCUCUGGGCCUUUCCUGACGCUGAGGAGCGAAAGCGUGGGGAGCGAACAGGCUUAGAUACCCUGGUAGUCCACGCUGUAAACGGUGGGUACUAGGUGUGGGGUCCAUUCCACGGGUUCCGUGCCGUAGCUAACGCUUUAAGUACCCCGCCUGGGGAGUACGGCCGCGAGGCUAAAACUCAAAGGAAUUGACGGGGCCCCGCACAAGCGGCGGAGCAUGCGGAUUAAUUCGAUGCAACGCGUAGAACCUUACCUGGGUUUGACAUGGAUCGGGAGCGCUCAGAGAUGGGUGUGCCUCUUUUGGGGUCGGUUCACAGGUGGUGCAUGGCUGUCGUCAGCUCGUGUCGUGAGAUGUUGGGUUAAGUCCCGCAACGAGCGCAACCCUUGUUCACUGUUGCCAGCACGUUAUGGUGGGGACUCAGUGGAGACCGCCGGGGUCAACUCGGAGGAAGGUGGGGAUGACGUCAAGUCAUCAUGCCCCUUAUGUCCAGGGCUUCACGCAUGCUACAAUGGCUGGUACAGAGAGUGGCGAGCCUGUGAGGGUGAGCGAAUCUCGGAAAGCCGGUCUCAGUUCGGAUUGGGGUCUGCAACUCGACCUCAUGAAGUCGGAGUCGCUAGUAAUCGCAGAUCAGCAACGCUGCGGUGAAUACGUUCCCGGG
Molecule: ribosomal RNA, 1343 nt
Filed under: uncultured bacterium
Lineage: Bacteria
Description: 16S ribosomal RNA
Rfam family: Bacterial small subunit ribosomal RNA
Source: RNAcentral